This 250-nucleotide ribosomal RNA is filed under the name uncultured Actinomycetes bacterium. RNAcentral's name for it is "uncultured actinobacterium partial 16S ribosomal RNA". It matches the Rfam family "Bacterial small subunit ribosomal RNA", at positions 28 to 276 of the family's 1533-position model. The record is from RNAcentral. Lineage: Bacteria; Bacillati; Actinomycetota; Actinomycetes.
GACGAACGCUGGCGGCGUGCUUAACACAUGCAAGUCGAACGAUGAAAGAGGAGCUUGCUCCUCUGGAUUAGUGGCGAACGGGUGAGUAACACGUGAGCAAUCUGCCCCUGACUCCGGAAUAACUACGGGAAACUGUAGCUAAUACCGGAUAUGCGCCGAACAGGCAUCUGUAUCGGUGGGAAAGAAUUUCGGUCAGGGAUGAGCUCGCGGCCUAUCAGCUUGUUGGUGAGGUAACGGCUCACCAAGGCGA